CCUACGGGGUGCAGCAGUGAGGAAUAUUGGUCAAUGGGCGCGAGCCUGAACCAGCCAAGCAGCGUGAAGGAGGACUGCCCUACGGCUUGUAAACUUCUUUUAUCAAGGAAUAAAGUGAGGCACGUGUGCCUUUUUGUAUGUACUUUAUGAAUAAGGAUCGGCUAACUCCGUGCCAGCAGCAGCGGUAAUACGGAGGAUCCGAGCGUUAUCCGGAUUUAUUGGGUUUAAAGGGGGCGUAGAGGGGUUGUUAAGUCAGGUGUGAAAGUUUGCGGCUCAACCGUAAGAUUGCAAUUGAUACUGGCAGCCUUGAGUGCAGUUGAGGUAGGCGGAAUUCGUGGUGUAGCGGUGAAAUGCUUAGAUAUCACGAAGAACUCCGAUUGCGAAGGCAGCUUACUAACCUGCCACUGACGUUGAGGCUCGAAAGUGUGGGUAUCAAACAGGAUUAGAUACCCGAGUAGUC
Molecule: ribosomal RNA, 460 nt
Filed under: uncultured bacterium
Lineage: Bacteria
Description: partial 16S ribosomal RNA
Rfam family: Bacterial small subunit ribosomal RNA
Source: RNAcentral